GGAAUUGCUAGUAAUGGCAGGUCAGCAUACUGCCGUGAAUACGUUCCCGGGCCUUGUACACACCGCCCGUCACACCAUGAGAGUUGGGAAUACCCGAAGCCUGUGAGCCAACUUUUAAAGAGGCAACAGUCGAAGGUAGAAUCAAUGAUUGGGGUGAAGUCGUAACAAGGUAUC
RNAcentral lists this ribosomal RNA (174 nucleotides) under uncultured bacterium. RNAcentral describes it as "partial 16S ribosomal RNA". It matches the Rfam family "Bacterial small subunit ribosomal RNA", at positions 1328 to 1500 of the family's 1533-position model. The record is from RNAcentral.